ACGAAGGAUGCAAGCGUUAUCCGGAUUCAUUGGGUUUAAAGGGAGCGUAGGUGGUCUGCUAAGUCAGUGGUGAAAUCCUAUCGCUUAACGAUAGAAUUGCCAUUGAUACUGGCGGACUUGAGUGUAGUUGCCGUUGGCGGAAUAUGACAUGUAGUGGUGAAAUACAUAGAGAUGUCAUAGAACACCGAUUGCGAAGGCAGCUAACGAAACUAUAACUGACACUGAGGCUCGAAAGUGUGGGGAUCAAACAGGA
This 253-nucleotide ribosomal RNA is filed under the name uncultured prokaryote. RNAcentral describes it as "partial 16S ribosomal RNA". It matches the Rfam family "Bacterial small subunit ribosomal RNA", at positions 525 to 777 of the family's 1533-position model. The record is from RNAcentral.